This 305-nucleotide ribosomal RNA is filed under the name uncultured bacterium. RNAcentral describes it as "bacterial SSU rRNA". It matches the Rfam family "Bacterial small subunit ribosomal RNA", at positions 333 to 636 of the family's 1533-position model. The record is from RNAcentral.
AAACACCUACGGGACGCAGCAGUGAGGAAUAUUGGUCAAUGGCCGAGAGGCUGAACCAGCCAAGUCGCGUGAGGGAUGACGGCCCUACGGGUUGUAAACCUCUUUUGUCGGAGAACAAAACCCGGGACGUGUCCCGGACUGCGUGUAUCCGAAGAAAAAGCAUCGGCUAACUCCGUGCCAGCAGCCGCGGUAAUACGGAGGAUGCGAGCGUUAUCCGGAUUUAUUGGGUUUAAAGGGUGCGUAGGCGGUCCGUUACGUCAGCGGUCAAAUUGCGGGGCUCAACCCCGUCGAGCCGUUGAAACUGG